UACGUAGGGGGCAAGCGUUAUCCGGAUUUACUGGGUGUAAAGGGAGCGCAGGCGGUCUGGCAAGUCAGAAGUGAAAUCCCAAGGCUUAACCAUGGGACUGCUUUUGAAACUGUCAGACUGGAUUGCAGGAGAGGUAAGCGGAAUUCCUGGUGUAGCGGUGAAAUGCGUAGAUAUCAGGAGGAACACCGGAGGCGAAGGCGGCUUACUGGACUGCAAAUGACGCUGAGGCUCGAAGGCGUGGGGAGCAAAC
This 250-nucleotide ribosomal RNA is filed under the name uncultured prokaryote. RNAcentral describes it as "partial 16S ribosomal RNA". It matches the Rfam family "Bacterial small subunit ribosomal RNA", at positions 524 to 773 of the family's 1533-position model. The record is from RNAcentral.